CGAUGAAUGUUAGUCGUCGGGGGCCUAGUGUCUUCGGUGAUGCAGCUAACGCAUUAAACAUUCCGCCUGGGGAGUACGGUCGCAAGAUUAAAACUCAAAGGAAUAGACGGGGACCUGCACAAGUGGUGGAGCAUGUGGUUUAAUCCGAAGAUACGCGAAGAACCUUACCUAGCCUUGACAUAUUUAAGAACUCCGUAGAGAUACAGAGGUGCCUUCGGGAGCUUUCUUACAGGUGCUGCACGGCUGUCGUCAGCUCGUGUCGUGAGAUGUUGGGUUAAGUCCCGCAACGAGCGCAACCCUCGUCACUAGUUACUAACGGUUCGGCCGAGGACUCUAGUGAGACUGCCUUCGUAAGGAGGAGGAAGGUGAGGACGACGUCAAGUCAUCAUGGCCCUUACGGCUAGGGCAACACACGUGCUACAAUGGCCAGGACAGUGAGACGCGAUACCGUGAGGUGGAGCAAAUCUAUAAACCUGGUCUCAGUUCGGAUUGUAGUCUGCAACUCGACUACAUGAAGCUGGAAUCACUAGUAAUCGUAGAUCAGCUAUGCUACGGUGAAUACGUUCCCGGGUCUUGUACUCACCGCCCGUCACACCAUGGGAGUUGAUUUCACCCGAAGCGGGGAAGCUAAACUGGCUACCCUCCACGGUGGAAUUAGCGACUGGGGUGAAGUCGUAACAAGGUA
RNAcentral lists this ribosomal RNA (685 nucleotides) under uncultured bacterium. RNAcentral describes it as "bacterial SSU rRNA". It matches the Rfam family "Bacterial small subunit ribosomal RNA", at positions 807 to 1498 of the family's 1533-position model. The record is from RNAcentral.